RNAcentral lists this ribosomal RNA (460 nucleotides) under uncultured bacterium. Its description in RNAcentral is "partial 16S ribosomal RNA". It matches the Rfam family "Bacterial small subunit ribosomal RNA", at positions 338 to 795 of the family's 1533-position model. The record is from RNAcentral.
CCUACGAGUGGCAGCAGUGAGGAAUAUUGGUCAAUGGACGCAAGUCUGAACCAGCCAUGCCGCGUGCAGGAAGACGGCUCUAUGAGUUGUAAACUGCUUUUGUACGAGGGUAAACGCAGAUACGCGUAUCUGUCUGAAAGGAUCGUACGAAUAAGGAUCGGCUAACUCCGUGCCAGCAGCAGCGGUAAUACGGAGGAUGCAAGCGUUAUCCGGAUUGAUUGGGUUUAAAGGGUGCGUAGGCGGUCGGUUAAGUUAGAGGUGAAAUCCCUGGGCUCAACUUCGGAAUUGCCUGUGAUACUGGUCGGCUAGAGAGUAGUUGCGGUAGGCGGAAUGUAUGGUGUAGCAGUGAAAUGCUUAGAGAUCAUACAGAACACCGAUUGCGAAGGCAGCUUACCAAGCUACUUCUGACGUUGAGGCACGAAAGCGUGGGGAGCAAACAGGAUUAGAUACCCGUGUAGUC